AGUGCGAACUCAGACUGGAAAGG
This 23-nucleotide non-coding RNA is filed under the name Cricetulus griseus (Chinese hamster). Lineage: Eukaryota; Metazoa; Chordata; Mammalia; Rodentia; Cricetidae. The record is from RNAcentral.